GGUUUGUAGCUCAGUGGUUGAGUGUUUGCCUCUCAUGUAUAAGGCACUGGGUUCAAUCCUUAGCACCA
RNAcentral lists this transfer RNA (68 nucleotides) under Marmota monax (woodchuck). Its description in RNAcentral is "tRNA.Glu". The stretch from base 5 to 65 matches the Rfam family "tRNA", at positions 6 to 65 of the family's 71-position model. From Rfam's summary of the family: Transfer RNA (tRNA) molecules are approximately 80 nucleotides in length. Their secondary structure includes four short double-helical elements and three loops (D, anti-codon, and T loops). Further hydrogen bonds mediate the characteristic L-shaped molecular structure. tRNAs have two regions of fundamental functional importance: the anti-codon, which is responsible for specific mRNA codon recognition, and the 3' end, to which the tRNAs corresponding amino acid is attached (by aminoacyl-tRNA synthetases). tRNAs cope with the degeneracy of the genetic code in two manners: having more than one tRNA (with a specific anti-codon) for a particular amino acid; and 'wobble' base-pairing, i.e. permitting non-standard base-pairing at the 3rd anti-codon position. The record is from RNAcentral. Lineage: Eukaryota; Metazoa; Chordata; Mammalia; Rodentia; Sciuridae.